Molecule: ribosomal RNA, 951 nt
Filed under: Lactifluus oedematopus
Lineage: Eukaryota; Fungi; Basidiomycota; Agaricomycetes; Russulales; Russulaceae
Description: eukaryotic LSU rRNA
Rfam family: Eukaryotic large subunit ribosomal RNA
Source: RNAcentral
GCAUAUCAAUAAGCGGAGGAAAAGAAACUAACAAGGAUUCCCCUAGUAACUGCGAGUGAAGCGGGAAAAGCUCAAAUUUAAAAUCUAAUGGUCUUUUUGGCCGUUCGAGUUGUAAUUUAGAGAAGCGUCUUCCGCGCCAGACCAUGUACAAGUCUCCUGGAACGGAGCGUCGUAGAGGGUGAGAAUCCCGUCUUUGACAUGGACCCUCGGUGCUUCUGUGAUGCGCUCUCAAAGAGUCGAGUUGUUUGGGAAUGCAGCUCAAAAUGGGUGGUGAACUCCAUCUAAGGCUAAAUAUUGGCGAGAGACCGAUAGCGAACAAGUACCGUGAGGGAAAGAUGAAAAGCACUUUGGAAAGAGAGUGAAACAGUACGUGAAAUUGUUGAAAGGGAAACACUUGAAGUCAGUCGCGUCGAUCAAGACUCAGCCUUGCCUCUCGGCUUGGCGUACUUCUUGACUUGACGGGCCAGCAUCAAUUUCGUCCCUCGGAUAAUGGCAGGUGAAAGGUAGCACCUUCACGGGUGUGUUAUAGUCUCUUGUCGCAUACGAGGGGUGGGAUUGAGGAACUCAGCGCGCGCCUCACGGCGUCGGGGCUUCGGCCCACGUUUACGUGCUUAGGAUGCCGGCGUAAUGGCUUUAAAUGACCCGUCUUGAAACACGGACCAAGGAGUCUAACAUGCCUGCGAGUGUUCGGGUGGAAAACCCGUGUGCGAAAUGAAAGUAAAAGUUGGGACCUCUGUCGUGGAGGGCACCGACGCCCGGACCAGACCUUCUGUGACGGAUCUGCGGUAGAGCAUGCAUGUUGGGACCCGAAAGAUGGUGAACUAUGCCUGAAUAGGGUGAAGCCAGAGGAAACUCUGGUGGAGGCUCGUAGCGAUUCUGACGUGCAAAUCGAUCGUCAAAUUUGGGUAUAGGGGCGAAAGACUAAUCGAACCAUCUAGUAGCUGGUUCCGC